GUUGUUUGAAUGAGGAAGUGAGUGCGUAUGACGUUUUCUGAAAUUGGGUUUUUGUGUCAUUGUGUCUUCUUUUUACAGGAAGGAGACAAAAAGCCGGGAAUGGAGCCAAAAGAAACCAGGACUGAUGUGAUGGAAAGUAUCCCACAAGAGCCACCAAAUCUUGACCAUUUUACCUCUGUUGAUGGAGCACACAGAGAGAAUAGAAGUGGUGUGUUGUCAGCGUCAGGAUUAGAGGAGGAAGAUAUUGCAUCAUCUUUGGAUACUGAGUGUGCCUCUGAGAGUCUUUCACAGAAGUACGUUGAUCAUUUAUCUGGAACUUCAGGUCAAAGAGGUAAAAAUAGAGUAAAUGGAGAAGUCGAAGGUAAGAAUGUUAUUUUUUUAAGUCGAAUUACAUAUGAUAAAACAGGAAUUCUGAUAUUUUUUUUUUCUCCAAACAUUAUUCUUUGUUGGUCAUUUAUGACUUCCUUGCUUUAGGUGUGAAUUUUAAUUUAUCUGAGUUUUUUUUUAUUCCCCCAAUACAUUAUUUUUUUUCCUACUUAACAGCAUGGUGACCCAGUUACACAUACAUGUAUACAUGCUUUUUCUCACAUUAUCAUGCCCCAUCAUAAGUGAUUAGACAUAGUUCCCAUUUCUACACAGCAGGAUCUCAUUGCUAAUCCAUUCCAAAGGCAAUAGUCUGUAUCUAUUAACUCCAAACUCCCAAUCCAUAUCACUCCCUCCCCUCCACCUGGGAACCAGAAGUCUAUUCUCCAAGUCCAUGAUUUUCUUUUCUAGGGAAAGGUUCAUUUGUGCCAUACGUUAGAUUCCAGAUAUAAGUGAUAUCCUGUGGUAUUUCUCUUUCUCUUUCUGAGUAACUUCACUCAGUAUGAGAGUCUCUAGUUCCAUUCAUGUUGUGACAAAUGGCAUUAUUUUGUUCUUUCUUAUGGAUCUGUCGUGUUCCAUUGUGUAGAUACAUGACAUCCAAGCAAAAAGAAAGAAAAUGCUAAAAUGUAUUUAUUUGUUUUUUGACUGCACCUGCAACAUGAGGAAGUUCCCAGGCCUGGGAUUGGCCCUGAGACACUGCAGUGACAAAGACAAAUCCUCAACCUCUGGGCCACCAGGGAGCUCCCAGAUAUAUUCUCCUAGCCAAUGGAAGGCACCUGUUGAAUGCACAGGGAGGAAACCGAUGAGAAAGGAAGGAACCUGUGUGGCACGUUGGGUGUCAGCAACCGUUUAAACCACAAGUCCCCUUGAAGUAGCGAAAUGAUUCAUUAGUUCCAUUUCAGGAUGCUCUACAACCUAAGGAAAGUCAGGAGACAGGGAAGCGGAGAAGAAGAACGAAGGAUGAGAGAGGCAGAGACUACAGGGUGUGAAUGAAGGAAGAGGAAGCAGGGUGCUGUGGUGUGAAGGUGGCAGAGUACAAUGGUUCCUUAGAAAAAGGAGGGAGGAGGGUCUGAACUGUGAGAUGGAUAUCCAGCAGCAGAACUUGUCGGCG
RNAcentral lists this long non-coding RNA (1474 nucleotides) under Sus scrofa (pig). Its description in RNAcentral is "lncRNA (ENSSSCG00065016409.1)". The record is from RNAcentral. Lineage: Eukaryota; Metazoa; Chordata; Mammalia; Artiodactyla; Suidae.